This 164-nucleotide ribosomal RNA is filed under the name Anastraphia recurva. RNAcentral describes it as "5.8S ribosomal RNA". It matches the Rfam family "5.8S ribosomal RNA". Rfam says of the family: 5.8S ribosomal RNA (5.8S rRNA) is a component of the large subunit of the eukaryotic ribosome. It is transcribed by RNA polymerase I as part of the 45S precursor that also contains 18S and 28S rRNA. Lineage: Eukaryota; Viridiplantae; Streptophyta; Magnoliopsida; Asterales; Asteraceae. The record is from RNAcentral.
CAAACGACUCUCGGCAACGGAUAUCUCGGCUCACGCAUCGAUGAAGAACGUAGCAAAAUGCGAUACGUGGUGUGAAUUGCAGAAUCCCGUGAACCAUCGAGUUUUUGAACGCAAGUUGCGCCCGAAGCCAUUCGGCCGAGGGCACGUCUGCCUGGGCGUCACGC